GGUUAAGCGACUAAGCGUACACGGUGGAUGCCCUGGCAGUCAGAGGCGAUGAAGGACGUGCUAAUCUGCGAAAAGCGUCGGUAAGGUGAUAUGAACCGUUAUAACCGGCGAUGUCCGAAUGGGGAAACCCAGUGCAAUUCGUUGCACUAUCGUUAACUGAAUACAUAGGUUAACGAGGCGAACCGGGGGAACUGAAACAUCUAAGUACCCCGAGGAAAAGAAAUCAACCGAGAUUCCCCCAGUAGCGGCGAGCGAACGGGGAGCAGCCCAGAGUCUGAAUCAGCUUGUGUGUUAGUGGAACGGUCUGGAAAGUCCGACGGUACAGGGUGAUAGUCCCGUACACCAAAAUGCACAGGUUGUGAACUCGAAGAGUAGGGCGGGACACGUGGUAUCCUGUCUGAAUAUGGGGGGACCAUCCUCCAAGGCUAAAUACUCCUGACUGACCGAUAGUGAACCAGUACCGUGAGGGAAAGGCGAAAAGAACCCCGGCGAGGGGAGUGAAAAAGAACCUGAAACCGUGUACGUACAAGCAGUGGGAGCACCUUCGGGUGUGACUGCGUACCUUUUGUAUAAUGGGUCAGCGACUUAUAUUCUGUAGCAAGGUUAACCGUAUAGGGGAGCCGCAGGGAAACCGAGUCUUAACUGGGCGUUAAGUUGCAGGGUAUAGACCCGAAACCCGGUGAUCUAGCCAUGGGCAGGUUGAAGGUUGGGUAACACUAACUGGAGGACCGAACCGACUAAUGUUGAAAAAUUAGCGGAUGACUUGUGGCUGGGGGUGAAAGGCCAAUCAAACCGGGAGAUAGCUGGUUCUCCCCGAAAGCUAUUUAGGUAGCGCCUCGUGAACUCAUCUUCGGGGGUAGAGCACUGUUUCGGCUAGGGGGUCAUCCCGACUUACCAACCCGAUGCAAACUACGAAUACCGAAGAAUGUUAUCACGGGAGACACACGGCGGGUGCUAACGUCCGUCGUGAAGAGGGAAACAACCCAGACCGCCAGCUAAGGUCCCAAAGUCAUGGUUAAGUGGGAAACGAUGUGGGAAGGCACAGACAGCCAGGAUGUUGGCUUAGAAGCAGCCAUCAUUUAAAGAAAGCGUAAUAGCUCACUGGUCGAGUCGGCCUGCGCGGAAGAUGUAACGGGGCUAAACCAUGCACCGAAGCUGCGGCAGCGACACUAUGUGUUGUUGGGUAGGGGAGCGUUCUGUAAGCCUGCGAAGGUGACCUGUGAGGGUUGCUGGAGGUAUCAGAAGUGCGAAUGCUGACAUAAGUAACGAUAAAGCGGGUGAAAAGCCCGCUCGCCGGAAGACCAAGGGUUCCUGUCCAACGUUAAUCGGGGCAGGGUGAGUCGACCCCUAAGGCGAGGCCGAAAGGCGUAGUCGAUGGGAAACAGGUUAAUAUUCCUGUACUUGGUGUUACUGCGAAGGGGGGACGGAGAAGGCUAUGUUAGCCGGGCGACGGUUGUCCCGGUUUAAGCAUGUAGGCUGAUUGUCCAGGCAAAUCCGGAUAAUCAAGGCUGAGGUGUGAUGACGAGGCACUACGGUGCUGAAGUAACAAAUGCCCUGCUUCCAGGAAAAGCCUCUAAGCAUCAGGUAACAUCAAAUCGUACCCCAAACCGACACAGGUGGUCAGGUAGAGAAUACCAAGGCGCUUGAGAGAACUCGGGUGAAGGAACUAGGCAAAAUGGUGCCGUAACUUCGGGAGAAGGCACGCUGGUGUGUAGGUGAAGCCCCUGCGGGUGGAGCUGAGACCAGUCGAAGAUACCAGCUGGCUGCAACUGUUUAUUAAAAACACAGCACUGUGCAAACACGAAAGUGGACGUAUACGGUGUGACGCCUGCCCGGUGCCGGAAGGUUAAUUGAUGGGGUUAUCCGUAAGGAGAAGCUCUUGAUCGAAGCCCCGGUAAACGGCGGCCGUAACUAUAACGGUCCUAAGGUAGCGAAAUUCCUUGUCGGGUAAGUUCCGACCUGCACGAAUGGCGUAAUGAUGGCCAGGCUGUCUCCACCCGAGACUCAGUGAAAUUGAACUCGCUGUGAAGAUGCAGUGUACCCGCGGCAAGACGGAAAGACCCCGUGAACCUUUACUAUAGCUUGACACUGAACAUUGAGCCUUGAUGUGUAGGAUAGGUGGGAGGCUUUGAAGCGUGGACGCCAGUCUGCGUGGAGCCAACCUUGAAAUACCACCCUUUAAUGUUUGAUGUUCUAACGUUGGCCCCUGACCGGGGUUGCGGACAGUGUCUGGUGGGUAGUUUGACUGGGGCGGUCUCCUCCCAAAGCGUAACGGAGGAGCACGAAGGUUAGCUAAUCCUGGUCGGACAUCAGGAGGUUAGUGCAAUGGCAUAAGCUAGCUUGACUGCGAGCGUGACGGCGCGAGCAGGUGCGAAAGCAGGUCAUAGUGAUCCGGUGGUUCUGAAUGGAAGGGCCAUCGCUCAACGGAUAAAAGGUACUCCGGGGAUAACAGGCUGAUACCGCCCAAGAGUUCAUAUCGACGGCGGUGUUUGGCACCUCGAUGUCGGCUCAUCACAUCCUGGGGCUGAAGUAGGUCCCAAGGGUAUGGCUGUUCGCCAUUUAAAGUGGUACGCGAGCUGGGUUUAGAACGUCGUGAGACAGUUCGGUCCCUAUCUGCCGUGGGCGCUGGAGAAUUGAGGGGGGCUGCUCCUAGUACGAGAGGACCGGAGUGGACGCAUCACUGGUGUUCGGGUUGUCAUGCCAAUGGCACUGCCCGGUAGCUAAAUGCGGAAGAGAUAAGUGCUGAAAGCAUCUAAGCACGAAACUUGCCCCGAGAUGAGUUCUCCCUGAGACUUUAAGUCUCCUGAAGGAACGUU
This 2816-nucleotide ribosomal RNA is filed under the name Klebsiella pneumoniae. Its description in RNAcentral is "partial 23S ribosomal RNA". It matches the Rfam family "Bacterial large subunit ribosomal RNA". The record is from RNAcentral. Lineage: Bacteria; Pseudomonadati; Pseudomonadota; Gammaproteobacteria; Enterobacterales; Enterobacteriaceae.